Molecule: ribosomal RNA, 465 nt
Filed under: uncultured bacterium
Lineage: Bacteria
Description: partial 16S ribosomal RNA
Rfam family: Bacterial small subunit ribosomal RNA
Source: RNAcentral
CCUACGGGAGGCAGCAGUGGGGAAUAUUGCGCAAUGGGCGAAAGCCUGACGCAGCGACGCCGCGUGAGGGAUGAAGGUCUUCUGAUCGUAAACCUCUGUCAACAGGGAAGAACGGUCACUGUGCUAAUCAGCAGUGAAUUGACGGUACCUGCAAAGGAAGCACCGGCUCACUCCGUGCCAGCAGCCUCAGAAAUACGGAGGGUGCGAGCGUUAAUCGGAAUUACUGGGCGUAAAGCGCUCGUAGGCGGUAUGGUAAGUCAAGGGUGAAAUCCCCGCGCUCAACGUGGGAACUGCCUUUGAAACUGGCAAACUGGAGUGUGUGAGAGGAUAGUGGAAUUCGAGGUGUAGGAGUGAAAGCCGUAGAUAUCUGGAGGAACAUCAGUGGCGAAGGCGACUAUCUGGCACAUAACUGACGCUGAGGAGCGAAAGCGUGGGUAGCAAACAGGAUUAGAUACCCGGGUAGUC